Molecule: long non-coding RNA, 650 nt
Filed under: Gallus gallus (chicken)
Lineage: Eukaryota; Metazoa; Chordata; Aves; Galliformes; Phasianidae
Description: lncRNA (ENSGALG00010004882.1)
Source: RNAcentral
AUCUCCCUGGAUAGAGAUUAUGCUUCUCUUGAGCAAUCAUUGGUUGUUGGAAGGGAUCUCAGUCCUAAGCAGUAGUGAUUCAAGCAUCUUCAUGCUGUUGUGUGUAAUAUCUUGAACUGUGACCUGGGCUCCCUUUCUGAACUGAAGUGUUCUGCUACCAUGGCUACUGCUGAUGUAAGCUGCCAGAUGCCUGGUUUGGAGCUGCUAGAAGUUGUGGUUGUUCCUUAGUACUUUGUGGCCACUGGACUUUGGAGCUGGUGCAUUUAGGGUUAUUGCCUCUUCCUGGACUUGUGAGACUAGCCAGAAUGGCACAUGCUGUUCUCAUUGGCUAAUGGAGAUGGUCAGGAUUUCAUCUUCUGUCAUUGCUCCUCCAUUAAAGAAUAAUUUGACAAGUUCAUAUUUGAAGAGCUCUUUAAAAUCAUGCUUACAUGUUUUAGUUAUUUAAAAAAAAAACAAAAACUUAUAUUAAAAAAAAAAAAUCUUUUUAAUUCAUUUCUACAUAUCCACUUGCUACUAUUAGAAUUACCGACUGACAAAGCUAAGUGCAGAUCUCUGUUUUUAAUUGUGUGGAUAUGUGCAUAUUAAUAUAUAUUAUUAUAUUGUACGUUUGGACUUAUAAAAGGUGAAAAGAUAUUAAAAUUUUACAAUAG